UUGACGCUGGCGGCAGGCCUAACACAUGCAAGUCGUACCNAGGCACCCAAUCNNCUUGCUNGUUCGCUGACGAGUGGCGGACGGGUGAGUAAUGUCUGGGAAACUGCCUGAUGGAGGGGGAUAACUACUGGAAACGGUAGCUAAUACCGCAUAACGUCGCAAGACCAAAGAGGGGGACCUUCGGGCCUCUUGCCAUCGGAUGUGCCCAGAUGGGAUUAGCUAGUAGGUGGGGUAACGGCUCACCUAGGCGACGAUCCCUAGCUGGUCUGAGAGGAUGACCAGCCACACUGGAACUGAGACACGGUCCAGACUCCUACGGGAGGCAGCAGUGGGGAAUAUUGCACAAUGGGCGCAAGCCUGAUGCAGCCAUGCCGCGUGUAUGAAGAAGGCCUUCGGGUUGUAAAGUACUUUCAGCGGGGAGGAAGGGAGUAAAGUUAAUACCUUUGCUCAUUGACGUUACCCGCANAAGAAGCACCGGCUAACUCCGUGCCAGCAGCCGCGGUAAUACGGAGGGUGCAAGCGUUAAUCGGAAUUACUGGGCGUAAAGCGCACGCAGGCGGUUUGUUAAGUCAGAUGUGAAAUCCCCGGGCUCAACCUGGGAACUGCAUCUGAUACUGGCAAGCUUGAGUCUCGUAGAGGGGGGUAGAAUUCCAGGUGUAGCGGUGAAAUGCGUANAGAUCUGGAGGAAUACCGGUGGCGAANGCGGCCCCCUGGACNAANACUGACNCUCAGGUGCGAAAGCGUGGGGAGCAAACAGGAUUANAUACCUGGUAGUCCCNCCGUAACGAUGUCCACUUGGAGUUGUGCCCUUGAGGCGUGGCUUCCGANCUACNCGUUANUCCACNCCUGGGANUACGNCCCNAGUUNAACNCAAUGAUUGANGGGNCCCCCAACGGNGGACUGGGNUUUAUUCUUGCACNNNAAAACUUUCUGGCUGANUCCNNAAUUUCAAAAUGNNUGUGCCUCGAACUNAAAAGUCUCUU
RNAcentral lists this ribosomal RNA (983 nucleotides) under Photorhabdus luminescens. RNAcentral describes it as "partial 16S ribosomal RNA". It matches the Rfam family "Bacterial small subunit ribosomal RNA". The record is from RNAcentral. Lineage: Bacteria; Pseudomonadati; Pseudomonadota; Gammaproteobacteria; Enterobacterales; Morganellaceae.